UCGGGAAUUUUGGGCAAUGGGCGAAAGCCUGACCCAGCAACGCCGCGUGAGGGAUGAAGUAUUUCGGUAUGUAAGCCUCGAAAGAAUGGGAAGAAUAAAUGACGGUACCAUUUAUAAGCUCCGGCUAACUACGUGCCAGCAGCCGCGGUAAUACGUAGGGAGCAAGCGUUGUUCGGAUUUACUGGGUGUAAAGGGCGCGUAGGCGGCGCGGUAAGUCACUUGUGAAAUCUCUGAGCUUAACUCAGAACGGCCAAGUGAUACUGCUGUGCUAGAGUGCGGAAGAGGCAACCGGAAUUCUUGGUGUAGCGGUGAAAUGCGUAGAUAUCGAGAGGAACACCUGAGGCGAAGGCGGGUUGCUGGGCCGACACUGACGCUGAUGCGCGAAAGCCAGGGGAGCAAACG
Molecule: ribosomal RNA, 402 nt
Filed under: uncultured bacterium
Lineage: Bacteria
Description: bacterial SSU rRNA
Rfam family: Bacterial small subunit ribosomal RNA
Source: RNAcentral